Long non-coding RNA from Erpetoichthys calabaricus (reedfish), 1973 nucleotides. RefSeq lists it as uncharacterized. NCBI's taxonomy places the organism in Eukaryota, Metazoa, Chordata, Cladistia, Polypteriformes, Polypteridae. The transcript has 3 exons. The record is from RefSeq and is a predicted model, not a curated record.
AGACCUGAGUGAGAUAAACACACAAAGAGAGGGAGGAGGAUGGUAUCAAUCUUAAAUGCCAGCAUUUAAUAUUAGGGCCUUAGUCUGAGCAGAGAAAGACCAGCCCACAUUAUCGGCAGCUGUGACAAUCUAAAAAGAAUGAGGCGUUCUUCCAUAUCACCACAGGGGGGCACUGUCACUGAAAGGUAGGAAAAUCUGAUGGGGGAGUGUUCUGCAGCAAGCAUGGAUGAUACAUGACACCAGAAAAAGGUGGAAUCCCCAAGAGGCAGGGCCUCUAUGACAUCACUGCUUAAGGACCACCACCCUUAGCCUUUCUAUGUGAGGCUGCCGAGUUGGCACUUCAGCAGAUCACCCAGUGUUUUUCUGAGUUCUAUAGUGGAUAUUUUCCUUUGAUUUAUCCGAUUUUGUGAAUUUUCGAUUCUAUUCUUGGAUUUCUGCAUUUGGGAUUUCGUAUUGGGACUUGUUCGCCUUGGGUUACCUUUACAGGAAAAUUUUUCUUGCACUUCUUCCUUCCCUGUUUUCUGUUUUUGUGAUUUUUUGGUUGCUUUUUGUAAAUAAUCCCUUGAUUUAUAAGGAUUUGUGUCUCAUCAUAUUUUUUGGGACAUUUAAGGUAUAUAUUGAAUUGUAAAAGGCAGGGCUCCAUUUUAGGUCUGUGCAUGGCAAAGCCUGCCUCAUGUUUGGUGGCAAGCUGCCCCCAACCACACUGCACCACAUGCCUGCAUUUUGGGACUUUUGUAAAGCCUCCCACUCUUUUUGCUGUGUUUGUGACUCCUAUUCACACCAAAAGCAAAGGUCGGAUAAGCCAACAAUUUAAAAGUCAGCUAAACAGAUCAUUCAAAGCAGUUACAGUGGUCAUUUAAGGAGUCUGUAUUUGUUAUUAUGAAGAUGUCAGGUAGCUUGCCUGAAGCAAAUCUGGACUUUGGAGUCUAGAGAGUGAAUCACAAAGUAUACCCCUCCUGAACAGAAAGUGCCCUCCGGGGGACUGGAACUGCAAUUUCUUGGAGGGAAUGCUUAGAAAGAACAGGACUGGGCACCUACAGACUGACAGAGUAUAAAACAUAAAUAGUACAGGAAUAACACUCCAGCUUUACAGAUGGUAUACAAGUCCAUCAUUAUGCAAUCAUAAAAUCAGCUCAGACAAGACACACCGUGCUGCUUGCAUAACCUGGCACACAAUGGCUUUAGCAAACACGACUGAGUGGGUCAUACCAGAGCAGAACGCAGCACUAGCGCCAGAAAGUGGGGCAAAAGACAAAGCAAGCUGGUGGGGAAGUUCAGAUUGCUGUGUAAGAUACCUGUUUUUGGGGCUGAAAGGGGGUAUAUUACUGAUCAAUGUACCUAUAGUGACCAUCCAGGCAAAAAGAAGCAUCAAAAUUGUGCAAUGUGCAGUACACCUCAACAUGUCAGACAAGAGGGAUAUUAAAGAGGUCUACAUGACACCAUGAAGACAACAAGAAUAGAAGACAGACAGUAUGAAACAGACUGGCAAGAAACUGAAGAUUUAUACAAAGGUAUCUGUUACUGUCUUGAGAGAUGAGGGCAAACUACAUCUGACCAGGGCAGCAGCAGAACAGAAAGACCCAGAUGGACAACUGCAUAAGAGGAGGACAUCAGAGUGUGUAGUGUGAGAAACAAACGCCCUACAGAUCCUUAGCUGGACGACAGGCUGCUGCCACAAUAUCUAUUUUAGAUCUCAUGGCAUACCUCCAUACCUCUCCCAAACACAAUAUACCGUAUAUACACACUGUGACAGGUCAGGGGGCCCUUAAGUCUUAAAACUGGUUCAUGUACAGAGGAGACGCACUUUAGCCAUGUGGGAGACAGCUAAGCAGUCGCAUGUAAAUUCCUAUAUGUCAUGGUGGUACAAAGCUUUAAAGUUGGGUUACUUAUGUUCUUUGUCCGGGCUGCUGUGUGUCUUUUAGAUGGUCUGCAGCUCUGCUCCUGCCACUCUUCAACUUGAUGCUUUAGAAGAU